UCCUUCUUAGCUCAGUCGGUAGAGCGCGUUACUAGCAUACAAAAGCAGAAGAGAUAUAUACUUUCCUAAUUACGAGGUCAGCCGUUCAAAUCGGCUAGAAGGAA
This is a non-coding RNA of Rhodocollybia butyracea, 104 nucleotides long. The record is from the annotation of a GenBank genome assembly. NCBI's taxonomy places the organism in Eukaryota, Fungi, Basidiomycota, Agaricomycetes, Agaricales, Omphalotaceae.